RNAcentral lists this ribosomal RNA (475 nucleotides) under uncultured microorganism. Its description in RNAcentral is "bacterial SSU rRNA". It matches the Rfam family "Bacterial small subunit ribosomal RNA", at positions 9 to 475 of the family's 1533-position model. The record is from RNAcentral.
GAGUUUGAUCGUGGCUCAGGACGAACGCUGGCGGCGUGCCUAAUACAUGCAAGUCGAGCGGAUCUUCAUUAGCUUGCUUUUGAAGAUCAGCGGCGGACGGGUGAGUAACACGUGGGCAACCUGCCUGUAAGACUGGGAUGACUUCGGGAAACCGGAGCUAAUACCGGAUAAUCCUUUUCCUCUCAUGAGGAAAAGCUGAAAGACGGUUUCGGCUGUCACUUACAGAUGGGCCCGCGGCGCAUUAGCUAGUUGGUGAGGUAACGGCUCACCAAGGCGACGAUGCGUAGCCGACCUGAGAGGGUGAUCGGCCACACUGGGACUGAGACACGGCCCAGACUCCUACGGGAGGCAGCAGUAGGGAAUCUUCCGCAAUGGACGAAAGUCUGACGGAGCAACGCCGCGUGAGCGAUGAAGGCCUUGGUCGUAAGACUCUGUUGUCAGGAGACAAGUAUCGGAGUAACUGCCGGUACCGUUG